AUGGAUUAGGCAUGCAAGUCGAACGGAGAGCCCGGCUUCGGCCGGGCAAUCAGUGGCGAAAGGGUGAGUAACACGUGAGCAACUUGCCCCCGAGAUCGGGAUAGCCCCGGGAAACCGGGAUUAAUACCGAAUGCGGUGCAACCGACUCCUGUUGGUUGUUUCAAAUGGUCCGCCGCUCGGGGAUGGGCUCGCGUCCCAUUAGCUUGUUGGUGAGGUAACGGCUCACCAAGGCUGUGACGGGUAGCUGGUCUGAGAGGAUGGUCAGCCACACUGGGACUGAGACACUGCCCAGACUCCUACGGGAGGCUGCAGUCGAGAAUCAUCCGCAAUGGGCGAAAGCCUGACGGUGCGAUGCCGCGUGAGGGAUGACGGCCUUCGGGUUGUAAACCUCUGUCAGGAGGGACGAAGAAGUGACGGUACCUCCAGAGGAAGCCAUGGCUAACUACGUGCCAGCAGCCGCGGUAAUACGUAGAUGGCGAGCGUUAUUCGGAUUUACUGGGCGUAAAGGGUCCGCAGGGGGUUUGCCGAGUCUGAUGUGAAAUCCCGAGGCUCAACUUCGGAACUGCAUUGGAUACUGGUGAACUGGAGUGCACGAUGGGUGAGCGGAAUUCCUGGUGUAGCGGUGGAAUGCGUAGAUAUCAGGAAGAACACCGAUGGCGAAGGCGGCUCACUGGCGUGCUACUGACCCUCAUGGACGAAAGCGUGGGUAGCGAACAGGAUUAGAUACCCUGGUAGUCCACGCUGUAAACGUUGUGCACUAGAUGUGGGUGGAUUUGAUCCCACUCGUGUCCAAGCUAACGCGUUAAGUGCACCGCCUGGGG
This 821-nucleotide ribosomal RNA is filed under the name uncultured bacterium. Its description in RNAcentral is "bacterial SSU rRNA". It matches the Rfam family "Bacterial small subunit ribosomal RNA", at positions 44 to 878 of the family's 1533-position model. The record is from RNAcentral.